AUACGGAAGGUCCGAGCGUUAUCCGGAUUUAUUGGGUUUAAAGCGAGCGUAGGCGGGAUGCCAAGUCAGUUGUGAAAGUCCGCGGCUCGACCGUGGAAUUGCAGUUGAGACUGGUAUUCUUGAGUGUACAUAAAGGAGGUGGAAUUUGUGGUGUAGCGGUGAAAUGCUUAGAUAUCACGAAGAACUCCGAUUGCGAAGGCAGCCUUCGGGGGUACUACUGACGCUGAGGCUCGAAAGUGCGGGAAUCAAACAGGAUUAGAUACCCUGGUAGUCCGCACCGUAAACGAUGGACACUCGUGGUUGGCCCCUGUGGUCAGUCACCCAGCGAAAGCGUUAAGUGUCCCACCUGGGGAGUACGCCGGCAACGGUGAAACUCAAAUGAAUUGACGGGG
This 392-nucleotide ribosomal RNA is filed under the name uncultured bacterium. Its description in RNAcentral is "partial 16S ribosomal RNA". It matches the Rfam family "Bacterial small subunit ribosomal RNA", at positions 523 to 918 of the family's 1533-position model. The record is from RNAcentral.